GCAGAACAUGGCUGCCUAACAGAUGGCACUGAAACCUGCCGCCUCUGGUAUGUUCCUUACAAAGCUAGAUAAAGCUCUCAACAAGGUCUUUAGGAAAACAAAGUCACAAGAAGAAAAAGAGCAAGAGUCUCUGAGUCAUUGCAUCUGCUUGGGGAAAAACCACUCUCUGAUGAAGAAUACUCACCUUGAUCUCUCCUGACAAAUUGCUGCAGAGAGAGAAAGCAUAGACUGAUAGAGAGGAGAAACAAGAAUGGUGAGAUAACGAAGGUUCACACAUGGUUCUAUCAUCCCCAGAUGGUUUUCUUCAAUGCAACCAUACUAUUCUGAUCUCUAAUCCUGGCAGUGUCAAAUGGAUGAUGCUUUCAAGAAUAAAUAUCUCUCAGAUUCAU
RNAcentral lists this long non-coding RNA (389 nucleotides) under Aotus nancymaae (Ma's night monkey). RNAcentral describes it as "lncRNA (ENSANAG00000039476.1)". Lineage: Eukaryota; Metazoa; Chordata; Mammalia; Primates; Aotidae. The record is from RNAcentral.